ACGUGGUAGGAGAGCGUUCUGUAGGCCUGUGAAGGUGUCUGGUAACGGAUGCUGGAGGUAUCAGAAGUGCGAAUGCUGACAUGAGUAGCGUUAAAGGGGGUGAAAAGCCCCCUCGCCGUAAGCGCAAGGUUUUCUACGCAACGUUCAUCGGCGUAGAGUGAGUCGGCCCCUAAGGCGAGGCAGAGAUGCGUAGCUGAUGGGAAACAGGUCAAUAUUCCUGUACCGAUGUGUAGUGCGAUGUGGGGACGGAGAAGGUUAGCUCAGCCAACUGUUGGAUAUGUUGGUUCAAGCCUGUAGUCGUGCUCGGUAGGCAAAUCCGCCGGGCUUAGAUGAGGGGUGAUAACGAGGCUGCUUGCAGCCGAAGUGAGUGAUACCCUGCUUCCAGGAAAAGCCACUAAGCUUCAGCUACACACGACCGUACCGCAAACCGACACUGGUGCGCGAGAUGAGUAUUCUAAGGCGCUUGAGAGAACUCAGGAGAAGGAACUCGGCAAAUUGAUACCGUAACUUCGGGAGAAGGUAUGCCCCAAGUAGGUGAACCUGUACAAGGCGAGCCCAAAGGGGUUGCAAAAAAUCGGUGGCUGCGACUGUUUAAUAAAAACACAGCACUCUGCAAACACGAAAGUGGACGUAUAGGGUGUGACGCCUGCCCGGUGCUGGAAGAUUAAAUGAUGGGGUGCAAGCUCUUGACUGAAGUCCCAGUAAACGGCGGCCGUAACUAUAACGGUCCUAAGGUAGCGAAAUUCCUUGUCGGGUGAGUUCCGACCUCCACGAAUGGCGUAACGAUGGCCACACUGUCUCCUCCUGAGACUCAGCGAAGUUGAAAUGUUUGUGAUGAUGCAAUCUCCCCGCGGAAAGACGGAAAGACCCCAUGAACCUUUACUGUAGCUUUGUAUUGGACUUUGAACAGAUCUGUGUAGGAUAGGUGGGAGGCUUUGAAGUGAGGUCGUUAGAUCUCAUGGAGCCAACGUUGAAAUACCACCCUGGUGUGUUUGAGGUUCUAACCUAGGUCCAUUAUCUGGAUCGGGGACAGUGCAUGGUAGGCAGUUUGGCUGGGGCGGUCUCCUCCCAAAGCGUAACGGAGGAGUUCGAAGGUACGCUAGUUACGGUCGGACAUCGUGACGAUAGUGCAAUGGCAUAAGCGUGCUUAACUGCGAGACUGACAAGUCGAGCAGAUGCGAAAGCAGGACAUAGUGAUCCGGUGGUUCUGUAUGGAAGGGCCAUCGCUCAACGGAUAAAAGGUACUCUGGGGAUAACAGGCUGAUACCGCCCAAGAGUUCAUAUCGACGGCGGUGUUUGGCACCCUGAUGUCAGCUCAUCUCAUCCUGGGGCUGUAGCCGGUCCCAAGGGUAUGGCUGUUCGCCAUUUAAAGAGGUACGUGAGCUGGGUUUAAAACGUCGUGAGACAGUUUGGUCCCUAUCUUCCGUGGGCGCUGCAGAUUUG
RNAcentral lists this ribosomal RNA (1443 nucleotides) under metagenome. Its description in RNAcentral is "bacterial LSU rRNA". It matches the Rfam family "Bacterial large subunit ribosomal RNA", at positions 1223 to 2664 of the family's 2925-position model. The record is from RNAcentral.